This 358-nucleotide unclassified non-coding RNA is filed under the name soil metagenome. Its description in RNAcentral is "partial contains 5.8S ribosomal RNA, internal transcribed spacer 2, and large subunit ribosomal RNA". The stretch from base 1 to 120 matches the Rfam family "5.8S ribosomal RNA", at positions 35 to 154 of the family's 154-position model. The record is from RNAcentral.
GAUGAAGAACGUAGCGAAAUGCGAUAAGCAAUGUGAAUUGCAGAAUUCAGUGAAUCAUCGAAUCUUUGAACGCACAUUGCGCCCGUCAGUAUUCUGGCGGGCAUGCCUGUUCGAGCGUCAUUACGCCCCUCAAGUCCCCUGUGGACUUGGUGUUGGGGAUCGGCGAGGCUGGUUUUCCAGCACAGCCGUCCCUUAAAUUAAUUGGCGGUCUCGCCGUGGCCCUCCUCUGCGCAGUAGUAAAACACUCGCAACAGGAGCCCGGCGCGGUCCACUGCCGUAAAACCCCCCAACUUUUUAUAGUUGACCUCGAAUCAGGUAGGACUACCCGCUGAACUUAAGCAUAUCAAUAAGCGGAGGA